Molecule: unclassified non-coding RNA, 301 nt
Organism: Callithrix jacchus (white-tufted-ear marmoset)
Lineage: Eukaryota; Metazoa; Chordata; Mammalia; Primates; Cebidae
Rfam family: Metazoan signal recognition particle RNA
About the family: The signal recognition particle (SRP) is a universally conserved ribonucleoprotein. It is involved in the co-translational targeting of proteins to membranes.
Source: Ensembl
GUCGGGCAUGGUGGCGUGUGCCUGUAGUCCCCGAUACUCAGAAGGCUGAGGUGGGAGGAUCACUUGAGCCCAGGAGUUCUGGGCUGUAGUGUGCUAUGCUGAUCGGAUGUCCACACUAAGUUUGGCAUCAAUAUGGUGACCUCCCGGGAGCGGGGGACCACCAGGUUGCCUAAGGAGGGGUGAACCGGCCCAGGUUGGAAACAGAGCAGGUCAAAACUCCCGUGCUGAUCAGUAGUGGGAUUGUGCCUGUGAAUAGCCACUGCACAUGUAGCCUGGGCAACAUAGCAAGAUCCUAUCUCUU